RNAcentral lists this ribosomal RNA (253 nucleotides) under uncultured bacterium. Its description in RNAcentral is "partial 16S ribosomal RNA". It matches the Rfam family "Bacterial small subunit ribosomal RNA", at positions 524 to 776 of the family's 1533-position model. The record is from RNAcentral.
UACGGGGGGAGCAAGCGUUGUUCGGAAUUACUGGGCGUAAAGCGCACGUAGGCGGCGAUUCAAGUCAGAGGUGAAAGCCCGGGGCUCAACCCCGGAACUGCCUUUGAAACUAGAUCGCUAGAAUCUUGGAGAGGUCAGUGGAAUUCCGAGUGUAGAGGUGAAAUUCGUAGAUAUUCGGAAGAACACCAGUGGCGAAGGCGACUGACUGGACAAGUAUUGACGCUGAGGUGCGAAAGCGUGGGGAGCAAACAGG